GAUGGACGGACGGACAUUCCAGAAAAGGGGAGCCCGGUUUGCCAGUUGGGUUUCAGUGUACUUUUCAGCCCUUUGAUUGACAACAAAAGUUAAACAACAAUAAAUGCCGAGAAAAACUUUUCUGUGCGGUUCUGAAACCGCGGUUUCUAUUGAAAACAAACAGUUCGCGAGUUAGAGAAUGCGGAUUGUUUUUUUUUUGCUGCUGUGCAUAUUUUUGCUUGCUUUAAACUCUUUUUUCAACGGAUGAAUAUAGGAGAAAUUUAAAAAAAAAGCUAUUGCACAAUCACCAGCGGAGGAUGGUGAAGCCCUACCUGCCGACGUGGUUAAAGGAAAAUUGCUACCAGUGUUACAAGUGAGAAUUGUUCCGCUUUUUGCUUCAGUAAAGGAAUGUGGUUGAAAGAAAGAUUGGAAACAUACUGUUGGCACGUGCGCACGGUGUAAGCGGAAAUAGGACAAUAAAUCAAUGGUUGGAUGAACUCCAAGAUUCUAUGGUAUAACAGCCACUGAAACUGCCAGCUGCCGUCGGACGCGCCAAAAAGGAUAAAAUCGAACGAAUCUCGCACGGGUUCAACAUUCCUGGCAUUGCUGCUGGCCCCCCAACUCUGGCCGCGAUAUUCGCCAGCAAGCUGAUGAUGUGGCAAACACCGCAAAUAACAUGUUUGUGGCCGGUUAUCCCGACGCGGGUUUUUCCCUUUAGUGCGAAACGAUCGAAGUGUAAAGCAGAUAAGGGCAGAUUAUCGUUACUUUUUUGUGUUUUUUUAUUUCCUUUCUCCGCUGCCUGGUUGCGGUUUGUUACUAGAAUCAAUCAACGAUGAAUGGAGACGCAAUGUGUUUCAGGCCUAGUUGAAUGAACCAAACCGUCCCCACUGUCGGUGAUGAAUCGUAUAGUAGGCUAACAUUGACAGCACGUGGCGCUCUCGCUAACUGUACUUGACUCUAUAUAAGAAGCAGCGCACAUCGGCGCACUUUGAUUGGAUGUUUGAGGGGAAACGCGACUCUCACUCUCAUCCAACACGCGGGAGAAGCAAUUCUCCCGAUCCCAGCUUCUUUUGCGUUGUUUUGUGUACAUUGCAAUGUCAUACCGUGGAAAGCUGCUCCAGCGUCCAGUGAAAACAUCGGAUGACAUCCUCUCGUGAAAUAUUCAAGCAAGUGGCCAUCCGCGGUGUCGAGUCAUCCGUUUGCUCUUUCCUUUGCAGCGUGGUGGGGUGUGUCAUGAUCAUGAAAACAACACUUUAUGUAAAAUUUUCCUACUCCAACAGCGGUGGUGCUGCUGCUGUUGGCAACUAGAGGAGGAGCCUCUGUAAGUUAAACGGUCGAUUGCAGACUGCACGAAACGGGCGGAAAAUAUAGGGGUAAUUUGUUGAAAGAUAGUGUUUUUUCCACUGUCGUCUAGUUCCUUGAUUUGAGUACUACAUGGGAGCUGCUAGAGGAAAGAUGAAGUUUGCCUGGUUUUUUGCUCUUUUUAGCUGGUGUUUCACGUCUGCGAGGUUAUGAAAUAUUAACCAAUCUGGAAUAGUUUUAUGGUGUUUGCUGUUAAUAUUUUCUUUUUGGUAGAUGACUCUGCACUGAUUGUAACAGCUUUUUGAAUGUUUAAGAUUUGUGCUAUUAUUUUUAAUGUUAUAAUUUUUCUUUUUACUUAUCGUAUUCGUAAUAUAAUUAGUAUUUAUUUGUUACUAAGUUAUUAUUAUCGAAGGAUCAUUAUGGGAGAAGGUAACUCCUUCAAACUAUUGGAAAACAUAUCUUAUUGACUUAAAAAUAUAAGAUUGUAGUAUUGUUAUACGAGAGCUGGUUGAAUUACUUCUGAAUAACACAGAAAUAAACGAGAAGAACGAGAAUGUAGAAUAGGAAAGAAUGCAUCUCAAAUAUAACUUAAGAUUUCGUUAAGUCUAAAUAAAUGGUUAUUUACUCUGAAUAUUUAUUAACCUCCAAACCUUUUUUGAAAUUCUGAUAAAUUCUAAACUUGUAUAUUUUAAAAUUUAAAGGGAUAGAAACUCUGUGUUUUCUACGAAGUUUCAUAAAAUCUUAUGAACUGCAACUUUGUUGGAAGCCGCGAACCUCUAUCACUUGAGAAAAUAAAUUGACAUCGCAACGCUAUCUUUGCGGCCAAUCGCAAACUAAUCCAAGCAUCCAAAUUGAGGCGCCAACUAUC
Molecule: long non-coding RNA, 2149 nt
Organism: Wyeomyia smithii (pitcher-plant mosquito)
Lineage: Eukaryota; Metazoa; Arthropoda; Insecta; Diptera; Culicidae
Exons: 3
Source: RefSeq, a predicted model, not a curated record